This 3379-nucleotide long non-coding RNA is filed under the name Setaria viridis. RNAcentral's name for it is "long non-coding RNA (SVIR_LNC007167)". Lineage: Eukaryota; Viridiplantae; Streptophyta; Magnoliopsida; Poales; Poaceae. The record is from RNAcentral.
CGAGUUGAGAUGGAAUAUCUUGAGCAAGGGAGGGAUGAACAGAUUGUUUUGAAAGGAAGAGAUAAGAACAGAGGCGACAGGCAGAGCCAUAUCGUCACUGGCAUCUCGAAGCAUCGGCCAGCGCAACAAGUUAAUCCACAGUUGCAUCUACAUGCAUCUGCCACAAGUCGAGGUGGAUGGCAUGCAAACGGUACCAAUUUGGAUAAAUCAAGCUUCUGUGCCUAUCCGUUUAUCCCGUUGGAUUUCACCGUGACGAACAGAGCUCGAGCAAGCUAGCGCCAGCGCCGGCCAACACCCAUGCCGCCGUUGCCCUUCGCGUCACCGCCAGCAAGUAGCUCCACUAGCCCCACCACGACGCCCAAGCCUAACCGUUGCUCGUCUCCCUGCCGGCAAGCUUCGAAUCGCCGCCGUUACUGUCCGCCGGCCGCCGUCACCUAAUUCCCCAAGGUGAGCUCCUGAACCGAAUGUUCUUCUCAAUUAGCGGGCUUAGGAGCGUCCUGCUAGGAUGUGGGAGCUGUUGGGGAAGUCAGGGGAACAGCUUGUGCCGCCUCCGUGCGCCGCCAUGGCCGGCCGAUGGCCAAGCCGCGGCCGCCCGUGGAGGGGCCGACUCGGGCCACCUCCCGGCGAGCUGGCAGUGGGCGCGGGUGCGCCUGACCUGGGGCGCCGCCACCCCGUCCCUCUCGGCCGCCGGCGAGCCGCCAGCCGGCGAGCCCCCAUCAGUCCCGUGCGCCCCUGUUUUGGCGCAGGGAGAAAGGAACCGAGCGCCAGGAAGAUGAGAGGAUAAAGGGGGGAGGAAGACAGGCCAGCCGUGCGACAUGGGCCGAGGGAAAGGCGCGGCCCAGCUAAGCCCGUGCGGCAUAGAAGAAGAGGAGAAGGGAAGCAGGCCGGUUUGUGCGCUUGGGCCGUGUUACCAGUGUGCGGUAGGAGAGGCCCAAGUGAGAAUAGGGAAGAAGAAAAAGAAAGGAGGGGCCGCCGUCCGUUCGUGGGCCAAGGGGGAGGAAUCGGCCCAGCCGACCCGCGCAAGUAAAAGGAAAGGGGGAGCCGGUGGGCCGUGUUGAGCGUUGGGAAGAAAUAAGCCGUGCGGCCCAGGAGGAAAAUAGAAGAAAGAAAAGAGUGGGCCGGAAAUGGUUGAGAAGGAGGAAGCUGGGCCGUGGCCUGUAAGAAAGGCAGGCCGGCCGAGCACUCGUUGGGUCAGAUUAGCAAAGCCCGUGCGCCAGGGGAAAAAGAGAAAAGAAGUUUGGUGGACCAGCUUAUGGGCCCUAGGUGGAAGUGAUAGUGGGUAGAAGCAAGUCGGGUGAGAAAAGUUUGGGCCGGCGGUUUUUAUUAAACCUUAGGUUUUCUUUUAUUAGAUAAAAUAGAUUAAAUGCUGUUUUCACCAUUUAAUUCACAAGAAAUUUUAGAAGUGCCCAAAAUUAGUGAAACCAAUUUUUAGGAUUGUUUUAUUUUCCUUUAUGCAUUAAAAUUCUUAAACCCUAGGAAAAAUAAUAAAAAUUUAGGUAUUUAUUUAAUGCCUUUUUGUGUAAGGUAUUUAAAUAAAUGCUUAAACUUUAUUAAAUAUAUAAAACUUGAAAGUGCUUUUUUAUCCACAAAUUAUUAUUAAUUCAUAGGAAUUAGGUUUUUGAGAUUAGAAAAUUAUUAUAAUGCUUUUAAAAAUAAAUAAAAAGGUCUAAGGUAGGUUUAGUAAAGGAAAUAAAAAUGGUGGGCUAAUCUUUUCGGGUUUUUGUGUGUUGGCUUGCAACUUUAUCAUGAUAAAUUGUAUAGUCCUUGUUGGCUUGCAACUUUAUCAUGAAGGAAAGUUGUAUAGUCUUGUAUUCAAAAGUUUGCAUCUCUAACGCUUGCAUAUACUGAAUCGUAGACGUCACAACUCCUGGAGUGGGAAUUCAUGGAAUUCAGCUGGAAAUGGACAGCGUUCGCGAAGUGUGGAGUGCCUCUUUCAAUAAACAAGUUUCCCGAAGAACUAACCUUUGUUGAUCCCAGGCAAGCCCCGGUGCAUUUAUACCUAUCUAUUUUGGAGUCGUUAUUUCAUGUGACUAGUUAUAGGUUAUUGGUUUAUUGUAUGCACUAAGUCUAGGAGUUGAAUGAAACCUAUUCUUGUGUAUGAUCAUGCCUUGAUUUAAGGACAUCUUUGCCACUUGUUCAAAUCUUAGAAACUACCCAAGUCUAGAAUUGCUUACUUGCUUACAUGAUUGGUUUACCAACCUUAAGGAAAACUCUUAAGUCAUACAUGUUGCUUAUGAAGGAUAGUCUGGAAUAUGAAUACGGACAGAAGCUAGAGAUGUAGUUCUGUCUGCUAGAUUAAUCUGCUUAAGGACCGGGCCGUGUCUUAACCGCUGGUCAAGUGAUAACAUCUGAUCACUUACUGGGUAUGGGACCAGUAAAGCCCAGUAGGUUAGUAAAUUCUAUGAUCAGGAAUGCUUCGUACCCGCAUUUGACGUGCUGGAGAUUGGCAGGGGUGUAGCCUGAAACUCACAUGGAGAUCGGGCCAGACGUGGGGUCCCAUGUGGGGGUGCAUCCCUGGGUCCGGGUAGUUGUAUUCCUAAUCAUUGACUUUGCUAAUCGAGAGGUUGUGAGAUACGACCGGAACAGUCGUAUAAUGCUGGUGAUCGGGGUACUCUCCUGCAGGAUGUAAAUUGAUCCGGAUCGCCGCAAUUCUCGGUUAUGAAUGCACUUGAUCACCGUUGAGCAUCGUAGUAUUACUUCAUGCAAUAUAAAAUCUCCUGUUGCCAAGUAUUGUAUGACUUAACAGCUGUGGUUGCUUUUACUUCUGUUAUCAUCUAGAAUGAUUAGGUAAUAACUUAAUCCAAAUAAAAGAUAAAACUAAGGCCUUACUUGUAGUAAGCUUUUCGGCGAAAGUUGCAUUAGCCAAGUACACCAAAAAGCCAAGCAUCCACUUCUAAAGAAAGCUAUUAUAUUGGUUAGUCGGGUAAGACUUGCUGAGUACUUCGUACUCAGGGGAUCCCUUGUUGUUGUUUUCAGAAAGCCAGCAGGGACUCACCGAAGAGGAAGCCCCGAAGACCUAGGGUAUCUUAUGAGUCUCAUGAUACUCUAGAUUGAAACUUAAAUAUUUGUUUUUCGUCCAGACUGGUUUUAAAUUCUUAGAACCACGCUGACUUGCAUGAUUAAGUUGUUUCGAACUAUGGUUGUAAUAUAUCGUACCUUGGUUAUGUCUUUAAAAAUGUAAUAUUUGUUGAUAUUAUCCCAUCACGGAUAUUAUCCUGAUGUAUGGCUAUGAGACACGUCGUGGAUCCUUCGAGGAGUCCUAGGGACACUCGACGGACUACCGGACUUACGCUGUUUUAGGUGCGUUUCGGAUAAUUGCUGUUCCGACAGCAAUUAGGCGCACUUAAACCAGCUUAAGUUGGGCGGUUCCGCCACAGGU